Molecule: long non-coding RNA, 1524 nt
Filed under: Mus spicilegus (steppe mouse)
Lineage: Eukaryota; Metazoa; Chordata; Mammalia; Rodentia; Muridae
Description: lncRNA (ENSMSIG00000024521.1)
Source: RNAcentral
UUUGUGAGAGAUUUAUUGGGAGAAAGAGAGAAGGGAUGGUGGCAGCAGAAAGAGAAGGGGGAAAGAGAGAGAGAGGGAGGGGUUAUUCCCCUUAUUUAUAUGGAAAAUGAUGUAAGGCAGAUAAAGGUGGUGGUGAGCCAAGUGGAUUCUAGGAAUAUGGUGCCUGUUGUCUUGGCAACAGGUCUGCAUGUCAUGCUGUUGCCUAUGUGAUGUCAUAGGUUUGGGAGAUUCUGAUGCCUACAGGAUGCACUUAUCAUUUUCCCCAGUACAAAGACCAUCAUGCAAUACCAGAAUGGUACCCAGCAAGAUGCUGAUGGAGCACUUACACCUGUGAGUCAAGGGUCAGACUCAAAAGCAGACACAGAAAGAAAGAAACACAGAUCUUCUAAAGAAGAAAGCACCAUCAGUAAGGACAGUAUUCCAGUUUUAGAUGAAGUGCAAGACAAAACCUUUGAACAUCAAGAGUCAGGAUUAAGAUUAGAAGUUCAGGCAAAGAAACUAACGUUCAGCCCUCAAAAUAUUCACAAUAAAGAAUCAGCUACAGAUAUUAAAGUGGAGUAUCAAAAUGUACCAUCAAGCUCCCAAGUCCAGUUAAAGAAGCAAAAGCCUUUGGGAGGAGAAAUAUUUACUACAAUUCCUGUAGAACACCCUAAAAAGGAAGCAUCACCGGACAAUCUAUUUCCUGAGAAGAAACUUUAUAUAACUAGAGCCCCGACUCAGACCAAGAAACAGUACCCUCCUUGGGACACUAAUGCAGAGAGUCAGAACAUCGAGCUAAGGUGUGAUGAAAAUUAUAUGUCAGUAGACCCAACAUCAAAAGAUCAUCCUCAAUUUAAGAAACUGAAAACUACCCACAUAGAAAACACUGCUCAGAAAAAAACAGUCAAAGAAGUUCAGGGGAUAUCAGAACCUCAGACAAAACUGAACCCAACGAUGAGUGGCAUCAUAUUACACUUGGACAUGGACAGAGUGGUUGAGACUGACCUAGAAAACUUGGAAGAGACCAUUGUACCACAUGUAUUAAGAAGUGAACUUGAGAUUGGCACAGAUGCAAAAAAUAUGCCUGAAACACCCACAUCAAGGGAAGCAGUGAGAACAGAGGCAAAGGGUAAUCAAGAUGUGACUAUUUCCAUCGCUAAAGGCAUGAAACUAAUUGGAAAACUGAAAGAUCAACAUGGUUUGAGUUCAUUUGCAAGUAAAGAUACCAUUAGUCCAGGGAAGAGCCUGAUAAAGUCAUCCAGAGACAAUCAAGAUGACAGUUUAUUGGAAACCAAACCUCAAGAAAAUACAAGUGACAAGUACCACCCAUCAAAGACAUUUCCAACAAAAGUGAUCAACAUGUUACCCUUCUCUGGUAAAGGUACGAGAGGGUACACAAAGACAAACAACAAGGUCUAGUAGCCUAAAACAGCCCAGAAGUGUGCCUUUUCACUCAUCUUCUUUGCACUGCCCUUUUUUUUAAUGCUUUUUUUAAAAAAAUUUUUAAUUAGGUAUUUUCUUCAUUUACAUUUCCAAUGCUAUCCC